CCCGCUGUCGCAACUGAAAUCACCGCCAGAACCUAGAUCGUCCUCCACGGCAACGCCUCUCCUUUUCGAGCCAGCGGCCGCGGCAUUAUCAGAAGCCAGAGCAUCUUUCGAGAAGUAGAGGCCGGGAUCAGAGAAAUUAACGCCAGGGUUCGGGCAGUCGGGGUUGGAGUGGGCUAGACGGUGUUGGCGAUCCAGGAAGUCGAGGGGGAAAGCGGCGUCCGGGUGAGGUUGCAAGUGUUGCUGAUGAUGCGAUGGGGGAGAGGAGAAGUGAGGGUGGUGGAACAUGAACUUGGCGGAAGAGGAGGAGGCAGAGGAAGAAGUGUUUUGGUUUUGGUUUUGGAGGAACUGGUGGAGAAAGGAGGAG
RNAcentral lists this long non-coding RNA (364 nucleotides) under Linum usitatissimum (flax). Its description in RNAcentral is "long non-coding RNA (LUSI_LNC001338)". Lineage: Eukaryota; Viridiplantae; Streptophyta; Magnoliopsida; Malpighiales; Linaceae. The record is from RNAcentral.